CGCGGCCUAUCAGCUUGUUGGUGGGGUAAUGGCCUACCAAGGCGACGACGGGUAGCCGGCCUGAGAGGGCGACCGGCCACACUGGGACUGAGACACGGCCCAGACUCCUGCGGGAGGCAGCAGUGGGGAAUAUUGCACAAUGGGCGAAAGCCUGAUGCAGCGACGCCGCGUGAGGGAUGACGGCCUUCGGGUUGUAAACCUCUUUCAGCAGGGACGAAGCGUAAGUGACGGUACCUGCAGAAGAAGCGCCGGCCGACUACGUGCCAGCAGCCGCGGUAAGACGUAGGGCGCGAGCGUUGUCCGGAUUUAUUGGGCGUAAAGAGCUCGUAGGCGGCUUGUCGCGUCGACUGUGAAAACCCGCAGCUCAACUGCGGGCCUGCAGUCGAUACGGGCAGGCUAGAGUUCGGUAGGGGAGACUGGAAUUCCUGGUGUAGCGGUGGAAUGCGCAGAUAUCAGGAGGAACACCGGUGGCGAAGGCGGGUCUCUGGGCCGAUACUGACGCUGAGGAGCGAAAGCGUGGGGAGCGAACAGGAUUAGAUACCCUGGUAGUCCACGCUGUAAACGUUGGGCGCUAGGUGUGGGGGACCUCUCCGGUUCUCUGUGCCGCAGCUAACGCAUUAAGCGCCCCGCCUGGGGAGUACGG
This 643-nucleotide ribosomal RNA is filed under the name uncultured bacterium. Its description in RNAcentral is "bacterial SSU rRNA". It matches the Rfam family "Bacterial small subunit ribosomal RNA", at positions 232 to 885 of the family's 1533-position model. The record is from RNAcentral.